AGUUCUCAGAAGAGAAUUCAUGUGUUUAAAAACCUUCUCCCUAUUCUCCCUACUGGUUGCUGCCAUUCCCACAGGUGCAUCUUCACCUGGACUAAGCUGUAUGUAUGUCCUCCACUGCUUUUCCUGUUGCUCUUAAUUUGCAAGCCCUCGUCAGAAGUACCAGCCCACAUGGCUACCUGAAAAGUGUUAGCAACUCCCAGUGAAGUGCCCGGUGAAUUCUUGCUCCUAUCCUGAACAGGCUCAGAUCAUCCCAAAAUCACUGCCACUCAAGUUGGCAACUGCCAAGGAACCUCCAGCUGCCUUUUCUCCUCCCUGUAAAACCAGUUCUGCCCCACACAGGCAAACUGGUGGCACAUUAAAGGCGAGGCCUUACACUGUUAAUUGGUUCUAUAGACAAAUAGAAGACUUAAGUUUCUAAAGUAAUAAAAAUGCAUGUUGUAAAACUCCUACAAAACAGAGCAAACAAUCCCAAUAGCUUAUCUUUUGUCAAACCUGAGUUCUCUUCCCAGACAGCGGUGACAAAAGGUACGUAACUUCAUUCUCUCUGCCUCAAUUCCUCCGUCUUUAAAGGGAAGAUAAUAAAAUGCUCUUAUCUUUAUAAAGCACUCCCAGUUUCACUAUUACAAGGAACCACAUGUACCAAAUAUCUACGUUUUGAUACUGCAUCUGAUCACAAUGCUGAAAUUACGUUGCCGAUUCGAUUUCUAGGAACAGCAUCAGCAGACUUUGUGGCUUGAAGUACGUAGCUUUGAGCGGCAACGUGGAAAGGUUACACAGCCUGGUAUGUAUAAUCCCGAUGCCAAAAAAAACCCCAACCCUGCCACAUCAAACUGUUGCUUUGUAUGAGGGUUCUCUAUUUGCUCCACUCCUCUCCAUGCAGGCUUGAGGCAGCCCGAUGAUGCUGUGGGAGCUUGCAUGCAGGUGAGCAGCCCAGUGCAAUGACUGCUCAUAGAUCCAUCUCUGCAAGAGGCUGGCCAACUGGGAGAGACCAAGUUGGAAGAAAUACUGGUGGAGCAGCACCUGCAGUUCUGGUCCAGGUACAUGGAAUCUUUGGUGGCUGCCAGAAGCAGCACCGUGAGGCUUGAAGACCAAGAUGCUCAGCUCACCUCUGUGAGAGACAACACAGAAAGAAAGGUAACUGAAAACUAAGUAUUUAAAAUUGCUUAUACCCAAGAGCAGAACGAGGUGUUUGACAUCCCAAAGGUGUUUGAUACUUUCUCAGAGACUGACAAGCGGCCUCACGGAAUAACCACCAGAAGAGGCCUCAUAGGGACUACUGUCUGUGUGGGAAGUCUUCACGUUGUUGCUUCUCCUUCAGGUUCUGUCAUUACUGUAGUUUUGCUGAUCCUAUUUAGCAGCAACAACUAAAAAAAUCUUGCAAGGAUGAAAGAAAUAUCUGUGAUGUAAGAUCACAGCUUUUCUUCACCACCUUCCUAAAGCUCUUCCUUACUCAAGGCAUGACUGAUUUAGAUGUACUUCACAGUGAAGCAGAAGUCCUGAAAUACUUGGAUUAUCUUUUAAAGCCCUGGCUCUUGUAUUCAUGGACUGCAUGAAUAUCCACCUUCUUACAAUCAUGGAGAAAGUGUAAAAAUGUGGUCUUAGAGAGUCAAAUACCAGACAUUUAUAAUUAUUUUCUUAUCUUCUGCGUUUUUUACACUAGUCUUCUGAUUUUGGAAGCCUUACUUUACAGAACUGCAUGUGGUUGCUGUUGGCAGUACCGUACAGUGCAAAGAAACCUUGCAAAUAUUUGCUGAUUUCCCAGAGAUUUGCUGCUUUCCCAGAGAUUCGCU
RNAcentral lists this long non-coding RNA (1790 nucleotides) under Calidris pugnax (ruff). RNAcentral's name for it is "lncRNA (ENSCPUG00000017994.1)". Lineage: Eukaryota; Metazoa; Chordata; Aves; Charadriiformes; Scolopacidae. The record is from RNAcentral.